CUACGGGUCGCUCCAGUGGGGAAUAUUGGACAAUGGGGGGAACCCUGAUCCAGCCAUGCCGCGUGUGUGAAGAAGGCCUUUUGGUUGUAAAGCACUUUAAGCAGUGAAGAAGACUCUUCGGUUAAUACCCGGGGACGAUGACAUUAGCUGCAGAAUAAGCACCGGCUAACUCUGUGCCAGCAGCCGCGGUAAUACAGAGGGUGCAAGCGUUAAUCGGAAUUACUGGGCGUAAAGCGAGCGUAGGUGGCUUGAUAAGUCAGAUGUGAAAUCCCCGGGCUUAACCUGGGAACUGCAUCUGAAACUGUUAGGCUAGAGUAGGUGAGAGGGAAGUAGAAUUUCAGGUGUAGCGGUGAAAUGCGUAGAGAUCUGAAGGAAUACCGAUGGCGAAGGCAGCUUCCUGGCAUCAUACUGACACUGAGGCUCGAAAGCGUGGGUAGCAAACAGGAUUAGAUACCCUCGUAGUC
RNAcentral lists this ribosomal RNA (464 nucleotides) under uncultured bacterium. RNAcentral's name for it is "partial 16S ribosomal RNA". It matches the Rfam family "Bacterial small subunit ribosomal RNA", at positions 339 to 795 of the family's 1533-position model. The record is from RNAcentral.